Molecule: unclassified non-coding RNA, 306 nt
Filed under: plant metagenome
Description: partial contains 5.8S ribosomal RNA, internal transcribed spacer 2, and large subunit ribosomal RNA
Rfam family: 5.8S ribosomal RNA (bases 1-105)
Source: RNAcentral
GAAAUGCGAUAAGUAAUGUGAAUUGCAGAAUUCAGUGAAUCAUCGAAUCUUUGAACGCACAUUGCGCCCGCCAGUAUUCUGGCGGGCAUGCCUGUCCGAGCGUCAUUUCAACCAUCAAGCCCCCGGGCUUGUGUUGGGGACCUGCGGCUGCCCGCAGGCCCUGAAAACCAGUGGCGGGCUCGCUGUCACACCGAGCGUAGUAGCAAUCACCUCGCUCAGGGCGUGCUGCGGGUUCCGGCCGUUAAACAGCCUUACAAAACCCAAGGUUGACCUCGGAUCAGGUAGAAAGACCCGCUGAAGAUAAGC